CCUACGGGGGGCAGCAGUGGGGAAUAUUGGACAAUGGGGGCAACCCUGAUCCAGCCAUGCCGCGUGUGUGAAGAAGGCCCUCGGGUUGUAAAGCACUUUCAGUGAGGAAGAACGCCUGGUGGUUAAUACCCAUCAGGAAAGACAUCACUCACAGAAGAAGCACCGGCUAACUCCGUGCCAGCAGCCGCGGUAAUACGGAGGGUGCGAGCGUUAAUCGGAAUUACUGGGCGUAAAGCGCGCGUAGGUGGCUUGAUAAGCCGGUUGUGAAAGCCCCGGGCUCAACCUGGGAACGGCAUCCGGAACUGUCAAGCUAGAGUGCAGGAGAGGAAGGUAGAAUUCCCGGUGUAGCGGUGAAAUGCGUAGAGAUCGCGAGGAAUACCAGUGGCGAAGGCGGCCUUCUGGACUGACACUGACACUGAGGUGCGAAAGCGUGGGUAGCACACAGGAUUAGAUACCCUAGUAGUA
RNAcentral lists this ribosomal RNA (465 nucleotides) under Vreelandella stevensii. RNAcentral describes it as "partial 16S ribosomal RNA". It matches the Rfam family "Bacterial small subunit ribosomal RNA", at positions 338 to 795 of the family's 1533-position model. Lineage: Bacteria; Pseudomonadati; Pseudomonadota; Gammaproteobacteria; Oceanospirillales; Halomonadaceae. The record is from RNAcentral.